Non-coding RNA from Nicotiana tabacum (common tobacco), 760 nucleotides. NCBI's taxonomy places the organism in Eukaryota, Viridiplantae, Streptophyta, Magnoliopsida, Solanales, Solanaceae. The record is from RefSeq and is a predicted model, not a curated record.
GUUCGCUUUUUUCUAACUCACUGCAUCCCUUCUUUCUCUCUUGUGUUUUGAAUCUUUUUGUUGGAAUAGUUUGUAGUCGCUGUUCCCGAUCAACCGGUAUGAAAUUAGUGUUUAGCUAACGUGAUUCGUGAAAUUGCUGAUGCAGAUAUUGUUGUAGACAACUGUGCUAUUUGCAGGAACCAUAUUAUGGACCUCUGAGUAUUUUGAAGAUUUUCUUUAGCUUCUCUUUUUACCUAAAAACGAAAAAGAUGGAUACUUUAUCCUCUAUUUAUUUGUUCCAUUGUGUGAAAAUUGCUAUCAGGCAUCGAAUGUCAAGCUAAUCAAGCUAGUGCCACUAGCGAGGAGUGCACUGUUGCUUGGGGUGUAUGUAACCAUGCCUUUCAUUUCCACUGCAUCAGUCGAUGGCUCAAAACCCGUCAAGUGUGCCCAUUAGAUAACAGUGAGUGGGAGUUUCAGAAGUAUGGUCACUAGUAGGAUUCAUUAAAUUGCAGCAAGGGGAAAGGCAAAAAGAAAAAAAAAUUGCAGCAAGGGGGGAUCAUCUGAUCAUGCUGUUGCAUCUAUAUUACAUGACUCCUAAUGUAGUGCGACCCGGAAACUCUUUUUUCAAGUGCUUUUCGUUUGUGACGCCACAAAUGAGACUGCUUUCUAUUGGGGAUAGGAUUUAUUGGAACUGGUAUUCAAUUGCACAUAUCAUGUGAGUUGUGGAAUCUUUCAUUGUUCUAUUGCAAAAGUUAAGCCUGUGUUGCUGUUGAUUAUGUUA